UCCUGAAAAGGAUGUGCAGCUUUCAGCAGAAAUAAUUAAUGUGGGCUUAGAAGCAACAAAGGAUUGUUGUCUCUAAUGAGGAGACUUGAAGCUCCUUUCUAAUUGUAACGUGCUCUUAUCCUGUCUUUUUCUUGGCCUAAUCUUUUGGCCACAAGGGGGCAGGUUUUCCUUCAACUGUGUGUGUGGGACCAAGUAAUGGUAGAGAGGCCAGAGAGAUCGCUUUACCUCCAUCGUUCUCCCCAGAGCCUUUUGCCCAGACAGCAUUACUCACACUCAAGCAGCAUAGUCAUGCUCAUCAAGCUACUUAAUGACACGGAAGUGUUUAAAACUAACAGUGUUUUCAGUGUUUGGUGGCUAAAUGAUAUGGAUUUUCAGCUGCGGCAUAAAGAUUCCUCUGAGAUUGGAGCAAGACAGAAAGAAAGAAAGAGGGGGGGAGUGAUGAAUCUGGAGACGGCUCACACAUAAUGCUAAUUAUACACCCACAUAUUUCAUCCUUGUCCCGGCGUUUAUUAGACAUAGUGAUGAAUUAGAAAAUGACUUUGAGAUCACACCCCGCCCAUGAUCACGCCAAGCUCUUUGCCUAGCUCAUCAUUAUUUAUCUCUUUCCCUCCCCCCUCGCCAGGCGCCUUAUUUCAUUUUCAGGUUUGUCCGUCUCAAACGUUUGUACCUGCUCUCUUUAGGGCGGCAGUAGCUGUAAGGAUGAUUCACACUCUGUCCAACCUGAUUUACCCUUCAUUUCUAGGCUGCAUGCUCUUGAUCCCUGCAUGGGCUCAAUUAAAACUCUCUUCCUGCCCUUCGGCUCAGACGCUGUGGCAGCAGCAGCAGCAGCUCUUCAGCGUGUGAGAGGUCUCCAUUUAUGCACUUCUCAGGACUCUAUUUGAUCUGACACAAUUUGAUUUUAAGGCGGCCAAGCUUAAAGAAUUCCCACCCACCUCUCUCCUCGUAAUCCUACCAAAAAAGGAAGAAAAAUAUGUCAACCUUAUUUUCACUUGGCCGCAUGAAGCCCGCUCCAGAUGAAACGGUCUUUAGCUCUUUGCGAGGCUCCACAGACGUCCGUGUUCCAGCGUGUUUUAGACGGUAGGAAACGUUGAGAGGGGAAAACGUUCCAGGGAUUUUUUUCUUUUCCAAAGUCUCCAAAUUAGUUGCGUUUGAUUUUAAUUCCAGCCAUGAUCACUUGUCAUAAAGCGUCCCAAACCCUGCUGCUAAGCAUAGAAACAGUAAAUACACAGUAAGAUGAAACUGUUUGACAAUUGGCAAGUUAUGACCGUCUUUCUAUUUGUUUUUAAACUGAAGUUAAUUUCUUAAGAGUGACGAGUCCAUUUCCAUCAGAAAGGAUUAGAUUUUUUAAAAACACCAUAUCAAGUUGUAACACCAGCAGCAUUUAAAAUCUAAUUUAAAGUAGUUACUAUGCAACCACCAUUGUCAAAACAAAAAAUUUAAAGAUUACAACCUCACAAUUUUCAAGUCGGAAUUACAAGUCGGUUGCUUUUUUUUCAUGACAAAUUAUUUGCUUUGACUGUUCGAUUUUACAGUAACACGUCUCAAGAACACUUGAUCAUUUUUCCUGAUAAUCCGACCAAAAAACAGGAGAAAAAUCUGCAGCGCUAAUUUCCUACCGGAUGCGUGAACCUCCCUCUAGAAGAUUCACUUUAUUUCUUGGAACAAAUUUUAGGUGUAGGUGAACAAUUGAAGCAGAAAAAAAAUAACAGACUUGUUCCAGAUCACAGAGAUAAUCGGUGGAAGUAUUUAUCCUCAGUUUUGCAAAGUUAGCUUCACUUGUCUGUAAUUCCAGCAGCAGCACUGGUUAUGUUUUUAGCAAAUUAUAUUUUGCACAUAUCAAGUUAUUUUCUGUGUCAGCCCUGGUAGAUUUAUAUGUUAAAUCAGAUUUAAAGCCUGACGGGAAAUGAAACAGACACCGUAAGAGAACAAAAUUACAGAAGAGGAGUAUCAACUUUGGAAAAGACAAAAUGGGUCGGCUGGUUUCAUUGUUUUAUGGAAAAAUCAAUAAUUGGUGAAAAAAUCCUUUAUUUUUACAGUGUAGCCGUCGAACCCUUUUUCUAAAUACUAACUUUUUCCAAUGUUUCCCCUGGAAAAGGUUUUUUGUUAAUUGCAUCACAUCUUUGUUAACAAUGUUCCAGUCGCAAAUCAUAAACCAGAAGCAUUAGCCAAUUGCUGUGUUGGUGGACCAGAUUAUAGUUUUAGCAGUACAAGCCAGUUAGAUCAUAUUUUAUGGCUCCAAACACCAAAAGGAACAUUUUCACAAAAAAUAUACCUCACAGCAGAUAUUGAUGUUGGAGCUGAUAUGAUAAAAUACAGCCAGUUACUGCAACUUUCACUGUUUUUCUGUCACAUAUUCAGUGGCAGCUGUUAAGGAAAACUAGCUUAGCGAGUCACAAAUGUUAGAAAUGGGCAAGAGGUUAAAUUUGAAAAGAAAAUUAUUCUCUCUCGCUGAUUUGUAGAUAAAUUAACAAGCUUGGCCUGAGCCAGGUCUUGCUGUUUUGUGUGUGUUUCGAGUUAAACCAACUGGCUGCUUACCAUUCAGAAAUAAUGAGUUAUUAGUUUGGUCAUUAGUAUGAGUGUGAGGUGUGUUAUUUCAACUUUUCCUUUAAAUAUAACAUAGUCAACGGUUCUGUAUGAAAUAAAAUACCUAAAAUCAAAAACUGUGAGGUAAUCCAUUCUAAAAUCAAAAUGGUGAAUUCUUGCUAUAUUUCAUUUUUCUUUGUAUAACCUGCCUAUUCAGCUACUUUUUCAUAAACCCCAAGAAAAAAAGAAAGUAAUCAAUAAGGAAAAUAGACAUUUCUAUGUUGUCUCCAUACAAGUAUCACAGGAUAUGACCCUCACUUGAACUAAUUUUUAAUUCCCUCUAUCCUCAAACAAAAUCUAGCAAAAUAGUAUCAAAGCACAUGUUGGUUGUUGCUUUCAUUGGCCAAAAAUGUGGGAAUUCUUAGGUUUGAUAUGUUAAAAGACUGUUUUAAAAAAAAUCUAAUUAUUCAAUGAACUCUUGUGAUAACUUAGAGUAAAGUUGAAAAGUUUUUUUUUUUUUUUUCAGUAACUCAGUUCACAAAGUGAAACCCAUUAAACAUUAAUUAAGGAAAACAACAUUUUCAGAUUUCAAGGUUCAUAGUUCAGAAAUGUGCCUCAUACCUGCUUAUAGCUUAUUUUUAAAACGUACUUUUAAUCUGACGAACGACCAUCAUUGGAUGGAUAUUCUAAUUUAUUGAAUAUAGCUGGCAUCUGGAGCCAAGGAAGGCAAAAUAGUGUGAUUCUAAUAUUAAAAUGAAUUUGUUUUAAGUAUUAAAAAGGGGGGAAAAAAGCUAUUUUCAAAAUAUGUCACUGUUGUCAUAAUUUAAUAUCCACUUUUAGCUCACCAACUACACUACAAAGAAAAAAAACAUCUCUAGUUUAUGGUUAAAUAGAGGUAUUUUACUGGAAAUUAGAGAUUUUCUUUCACAGGUAUUUUUUUACAGUAUUGCCUGCCUACCCAAUUGAUAGUUUGAGGUCACAAGUUUCUGCUACUGUUAUUUUGUGGGCUGGAAGGUGAAAAGUUUGGGAAUCGGUUCUCUGAGCAAAUAUUGUCCAAGUCGGACGCGAUUAGAUGGGUUUAUCAUUAACUUCUGUGGUUACCAAAGCCUCCCCGAUUUUUAUUUCACCAUUUUUCUACUAAUACCUACAUAUCAGCUCGCCCUGCUCACAAUGUCCGACGACACCGACCGGAUUUGUCCUGGGACUCGCCCCGCUGAGCACCUGACAGGUUUCCCCGUUUUUCGUCAUCUAGGUGCCGUUCCUGCUGGACUCUCCCACGCAGUGACACGCUACCAUGAACUUUUGUUUGUUCCCCCCACCCCCCGCCUUUUCAAAGACAGAAGCCCCAUUUUAAAGCCACAUGCUGGUCAAACAAGUCAGGUCAAAACAUUGCCACAUAGUAUCUGCCCUGUCUGUGAAUGUUUAACGGAGACUGAUAUUUGCCUUACCUUUAUUUUGCUAGCUACAGAGAGCUAACGGGGUGAAAGAUGGGAAGAGACAUCAACAGGAAAAGCUGAAAGGAAAGCACAUUUCUUACAGAUCCCUAACAGGCAAACAAACUGUUAGCAUCAAGCGAACUAGCUAACCGAAGACGGUUCAUCCAACAUUUUGUGCCAAAAAAAAAAAAAAAACUGAGCCUGAGCCUGGGCAGGCAGCGGUGGAGCUUUGGUUGUUUUGUGGUUUUCGUUUCUUUUAACGUGUCAGGACCAACAGCAAAUCAGAAAACCUUCCUGAGGCUCACAGCGUUCCCUUUUUGUGUGUGCGAGAGCGCUGAGAAGCCAACAGGCACAAUUUGGUCAGAAACCAGGGAUGAAAAACAACAA
Molecule: long non-coding RNA, 4346 nt
Organism: Poecilia latipinna (sailfin molly)
Lineage: Eukaryota; Metazoa; Chordata; Actinopteri; Cyprinodontiformes; Poeciliidae
Exons: 3
Source: RefSeq, a predicted model, not a curated record